AAUUUUUCCACUUGUGAAGAGCACUACAAAAUAUAUAACAAAAUCUAAAAGGCCUACUGUCUUUAAGUACACCGCUUGCAGUGUUUCCGUGAACAUUUUCACAAUUCUGGCCGCUUGGACUUCACAGUAACCAGUUAAAACUGUGGAAUAUCACUUCUGGUGAAAACCCAGAGGAAAGGCCCUGCUGUUUUCCACCUACCACGUUGUCUGAUUUCAUAAAAGUGCUGUAGGGGUGGGAGGGGGCAGUGGGGUCAGUGGUGUGGGAAAGGGGAAUGGCAAGCUUCUCCCCUAGAUUCUGCCUGCCUCCACACACCCUGGCUCACCUCCUCCACAUCCCCCCUUUUCAGCAGAAGCCAGAAAGACUUGGACAAGCAACAAGCAACAGUGGCUAUCGUAUUUAUUCAGUGUCUUCGCUGGGCCACAGCCUCAGCACAAUCAAGAGGGACUUUCAUGAAAGGCAGGAAUGCAGAUAAAACAAAGAUAUCAGAGAUUUGCACCUAUGUUUCUAGAGAAAAAAGCUAUUUAUGAAAUGUCAAAAACACUGGACUGUGAGUUUAAGUGUGGAAGCAUUUACCACCCUGUGUCUUCAACCAAUUAUGGGAAACCCCUUUUCUCUCCCCCUCUCCGCCGCCUUAGCCUUGCCAAAUGAGAAAACUAUAACAGCUCUCAGAUGAUUGAAGCCACCGAAGCUCUGCUUUAAUUCUUACGGUUUGAAAAAGUUGGAAAACCAAAGUUAAAUUUGUUUCUGAAAUCCCGCUGUCCAUAGCCCUUUUUUUGUAUGACACAGCCAGUUGGUGCUGCCUCUCCAUCUGGGAUUAUUGCCUUCUUAGGGACUGGGGCCAGGUCUGAUGCAAAGAGAGACAUGAGAGUGGUGAAGCUGAGAGCUGAGGUCUCAGGAAGUAACAUGUGAGUGGGACUCCAGCCUCUCAGGGGCAACCACAUUUCCCCAUCCCGAGGAGAAGCUGCCAAGAGAGCACAGUGCUACUAAAGCCUGACAGGAGCCAGCCUAUGUCUGGUCUCCUUCACCUUCUGCUUCUAAGACUCUUCUGUUACCAUGGCUCUCUAGAAUGGCUCUGCCUUUCUCAGCAGCCCACAUUCCUUGGAUGGGAGUGGGGCAAGGAUCCAAAUGACAGAAUGGCUGUGGGUGCUGUGGAGGCACCCCCAGCUCCCAGGGAGGUGAGGCAAGGGACCACUCAGCACAAGGGAUCUUGACCACCUCCUCUGAUUCAAUGGAUUAUCCAUCCAUCUGCUCACUGUGAAGAGGGAGAGGCAGUGUGCACCAAGGCUAUUCAAUAGCUUUUCCAUAUUUUUUCAACAAUGAAAAAAUAAUUUUUCAAAACUGUGAUAUUUUUUAAAAAAUCAUUUGGCUGGAGGGAAGGGAAAAGGGAAACACCAAAAGCUGUAACAUGAUUAACUGGAGAUAUGUAACUGGGGCACUUUCUAGACCAAGACAAAUGAAUUCCUUUCUGGACCUAAAGCAGCCAAAUCUUGAGACUGUCAAUGACAGAAAGCUGAAGAGAGGCUUCCAUUUCCUCCUUUCUCCUUUCUUCUCUCUGUCUCAAAAUUCUCUUGUCUCAAACUUCUUGUCUUCAAAAUUCUCCUUUCCAGGUUCCCUUGAUCUACUGCCCCAUUGGCCCUCAGCCUCCCACUUCAUCUGUACAACUACACACACACACACACACACACACACACACGCAAAAUACCAUUAUUUUAAGGAUUAUGGGACAGAAUAAAAUCAUGUGCCUUCAUUUUUUCUUUUUAUGGUUAGAUGAACCUCUUCCUUUUCACAAUGUUUAUUUUUUUAAAAGAUAGGAGAGGUUGAAGUGUUAGUGGAGGAGCUGGGCAUCAUCUGAGAAGUCAUGUUUGUUUAGCACAUUCCCCCUAAACAUUAAACACAAGCAUGUUAACCCCUUCACAAAACUAUCCGGACAUUUAGAGCAUCAAGUAACCAGAUACUGGACAGCCUAAAUCCAUUUGACUUUAGAGCAGUUCCUGAAAUUUCCAUUUCAUAGGCUUCUUUGAUUUUAUCAAAAUGAGGCGAGCAAGGGCAAGCUGCCUUGUUCUCCUGAUCUGGUGCUUUUGCUUGUAGUGGG
Heterocephalus glaber (naked mole-rat) is the source of this 2093-nucleotide long non-coding RNA. NCBI's taxonomy places the organism in Eukaryota, Metazoa, Chordata, Mammalia, Rodentia, Bathyergidae. The record is from Ensembl.